Mobula hypostoma (lesser devil ray) is the source of this 327-nucleotide long non-coding RNA. RefSeq lists it as uncharacterized. NCBI's taxonomy places the organism in Eukaryota, Metazoa, Chordata, Chondrichthyes, Myliobatiformes, Myliobatidae. The record is from RefSeq and is a predicted model, not a curated record. The transcript is spliced from 3 exons.
UUAGAGGAAGAAGGAGAAAGAAGGAAAAUGGAAACAGACAACAAACCUAGCAGAAGAACAUGACUUCAUUGGGAAGGACAGACAUUGCUUUCAGAAAAUCCUCAUGCAGACAAUGGUCUCACAGAGAAGGUGUGGAUCUUGGAAAUGAACAUGAUGACCAGUUAAGGAUCAUGAAGGGUACGCAAAGGAACAGGAAACAGCACAAUUUCAUGCGCUACUGAAGCAAAAGUCACGCAAGGAGUGCAAGGGUGACCCAUGCUAACAAGUACCCAAUUAAAAUUUUGGAAUUACACAAAUGACCUGUUCUUAAAUUUCACUUUGGAAAAA